GUGAACGCUGGCGGUAGGCCUAACACAUGCAAGUCGAACGGCAGCACAGUAAGAGCUUGCUCUUACGGGUGGCGAGUGGCGGACGGGUGAGGAAUACAUCGGAAUCUACUUUUUCGUGGGGGAUAACGUAGGGAAACUUACGCUAAUACCGCAUACGACCUACGGGUGAAAGCAGGGGAUCUUCGGACCUUGCGCGAUUGAAUGAGCCGAUGUCGGAUUAGCUAGUUGGCGGGGUAAAGGCCCACCAAGGCGACGAUCCGUAGCUGGUCUAAGAGGAUGAUCAGCCACACUGGAACUGAGACACGGUCCAGACUCCUACGGGAGGCAGCAGUGGGGAAUAUUGGACAAUGGGCGCAAGCCUGAUCCAGCCAUACCGCGUGGGUGAAGAAGGCCUUCGGGUUGUAAAGCCCUUUUGUUGGGAAAGAAAAGCAGCAGGUUAAUACCCCGCUGUUCUGACGGUACCCAAAGAAUAAGCACCGGCUAACUUCGU
This 490-nucleotide ribosomal RNA is filed under the name uncultured bacterium. Its description in RNAcentral is "partial 16S ribosomal RNA". It matches the Rfam family "Bacterial small subunit ribosomal RNA", at positions 29 to 506 of the family's 1533-position model. The record is from RNAcentral.